RNAcentral lists this long non-coding RNA (1222 nucleotides) under Ictidomys tridecemlineatus (thirteen-lined ground squirrel). Its description in RNAcentral is "lncRNA (ENSSTOG00000034836.1)". Lineage: Eukaryota; Metazoa; Chordata; Mammalia; Rodentia; Sciuridae. The record is from RNAcentral.
GUCUUGCUUCAUGAUGUCUUAGAGUCAACAGGGUGUUUGGCAUCUUGGCAAGCCACACCCAUUUUCUCUUGAGAGGCUGAGUGGCUUUGUGGUUCCAGUAAGUGACUGGAUCUCUAGUGCUGUGUGGAACCUGGGGCACAGCUGGAUAGGUAUUCACAUGUAUUUGGGUGUCUCAUCUAUAGGACUGCCACUGGGAGCUCCCAGAUACCAGAUGAUACCAGCAUUCAAGAACAAUAUGUAGCCUUCAUAUGUGGCCUUUAAAAAACCCUUUAUUUCAAGUGACCAAAAGCAGACAUGAAGACCACAAUGAGAGAAGAGACCUCCUGCAGGAAGGUGAGUUGCCUCUUAUGUUUCUUUGCAUCUCCAUGAAGGUUCAUGAAGGUCACACAGUUGUCAAACCUGUCCUCUUCCCCUCCAGGGCAGAACCAGCAGAUUUCCACCACACCCCGCAUCAAGAGGCAAUUCUUGCUGAUUUCUCUGCAGUGUCAAUGGAAAAACACAUCAUGUUCACUGAGAAGACAGUUCAUGAUCUGAGAUUUGGAAGUAGACAGGCCAUUGCCUACUCUAAUGAAGGACUCAAUGGGAGUGGAGACACGACACAUGUGAAGAUUCUUGUGACUGUUUCUUUCCUUGCUGCCGAUUUCUCCUAAUUUGUCUGAGAGACCAGAGAGAGAAUUCAAUUUGAGAAGUGCAGGGAUUUGGCACCAGGAGGGGCAGGGCAAAUUGACAGAUGGAUAAUUUGGUCAAAAUAUAUUUUCUAGCCAAAUUAUCUGCACAGUGAAAAAUGGCCAUCUGAAUAUCUGUGGGGUGAAUGUCAGGCCUGGACUCUUUUCUCAAAGGAUUAGUAAGACUAUCACCAUCUUCAAAAAAGUGUUCAUGAGGAUCAAUAGCCUCAUUUUCCUGUUUGGAGGCACCUGAAGAGACCUGAUGUUCUAUAUUUUCAUCAUCUUUGAAGACCUGGUACCUCAGUCCAUAAUCCAGCAUCAGUAGCUUCUGAAGGAUAUAGAAGGGAAGUUCCUGUUCACAUUUGGGCUGGGUGUUGCACACAGAAGUCUUGUAGAUUAAAUGGAAGUCAACUCUACUCAUCCUUUUUGAGUAGUAAUGUUCUAGGCCAAGACACUGGAGUAAACUAUAAAGGCUUUGUUUUCUAUCACUUCACUUGUGUUAUUUGCAUUAAUAUUUGAUUCACAGGGCUUUUUUUUUCCAUUUUCCUCCUGGAUCU